CUGGUUGUCUUAGACUUGAAAACAAGUCUUUCUCUUGAAAGAUCCACAUAUAAGAUGACUAUGCUACUGGUUGGAAAACACCUUUUAAACACCUUUGAGCAGAGAAAGUUAAUAACCCAUCAGAUAGAAAGUAAUUAAACAGAGUAGGUUUCCAGCUUUUUUUCGCAUUGCAAGGUAAGUAUACAAACACUAUAGAAACACUAUUUAAUCUGAAUGAAGCUGGAAGAUAACUAAGGAGAGAACAAAAAAUAUUCUUUGCUCAUGGUUGGAGAAAGUUUAUUUGGAUAACAAUAAAGAUACGUAACUGGAGGUCAUCUGCUCUGAUCCACUACCUAACUUCAGGUAAGAAAGUGAGAUUAAAAUCAUGUAACUUUGGCACACAGAAAAAAAAAAGUGUAACUUGAUAUUAACUGAUAUUAAUUUGCUUAGGAAAGAAGACGGGGAAAUACUUAACAUCUGCUUGGAGACAUGACAGGUAAUAGAGUUGGUUAAUUAAACAAAUAUUUAUAGAUAAUUUAGCUGAGAUUGUUAGAAAGAGAUCUUGAUUCUUUUUUUGUUUGAUGACUAUUAUGUACAGAAAAUUUAUAGAACAGGGACAAAUGAUGAAUAGUUUGCUUGGUGAUUGACGAGGGAUAUAAUUAAUAAUUUACUGAUUAUAGUAAUGGCCAUUUUUAUUUUACUAGUUCUGACAGAUAAUGAAUAAUCAUUCAAUGGUCUUGAUUAUCACUAACAUAGAAUUAAUUAUUUGUAGCCUUUAAAAAAACCCAACAAAACAUGUAUAUAGGUACAAACCUCAAUAUGUUUGGUUUCUUCAUAGGGCAGUAGUUAAGAUAAUGUCUAUUUUAGGCAGAAUCUUAUAUCUGUCAUAAGAUGUGUGAUGAUAUAGUGAGCACAAAGCCCUGAGACUGGCCAGAGUUCAUGUAAGUUUAUGUAAUAUAUUCAAAACAGAUUAGGAAUUAGAUUUUUUCAGCAAUAAGGAAGCAUGAACAUGUCAUGUGCUUAUGAUGAUAAUAGUCUUCUGAAGACAUAGAUUGUUGUCCAGGAGGAAGUUAAUGUUCUAACUCCAACUGCCCUGGGCCUCUGAGCACAGAAGUACCUGAGCGCAUGUUUUGCAGCCACAGAUGCUCUAGUGCCUCUGAAACAGCUUGAUCUGUUUCAUUGUGUUUUAAGAAUGAAGGAGGGAUAAUGUAAAGUUAGUUACACCAGAUAUUUGCCAUCCAGUAUUUUGCUGGGAAAUCUUUAUUUCUUGAUGGCAUGGCAGAGCAGAAAACAACACUGUAGGGAUUCCUAAUUACUAAUGAAAAAGAAACAUGAUGAAGACAAGAAACAGGCUGUGCUCAUUCCUUUUAAUAUAACUUGGGUAUUUACUGUAUGGUCAGCUGUUCACCUUUGUGUCAAAUGCUCUUCUGCCUCUAAGGAGCAGGAGACUGCUCAGGAUAACCACUGCCUUUAGAAGAAGAAAGAUGGUGUUGUGUGGGGGAGGAAGAUGCAGCUAUUACACCUAAAAUUUUCCAGUAGAGCACACAAUGAAGAAUGUGGGGGGAGCGAUUGUGCUGCUGUGCACCCUGCCACUUGAGCAGCUGUGUCCUGUCCUCUUAAGAUCCUGGCUUUGGAUUUGACAGACAUGGUCUCCGCAGUCUGCAGACAGUGAAGCUAAAGGCCAGUUAUGUUUCUUCAAAGGAUAACUUCCACAACCAAAGAAGCUACCCUGAAGAAGAGUAUGUAUCUCCAGAGACAUUUUUGUUUCCAUCUUAAGAAACCUGAUCCUGCUCCAGCAGACGUCAAUGAAGUCUCACCAUUAACCAUGAAGAAAACGAAAAACCAUCCUCUCAGAAAUCAUUGCAGCCUAUUCCUUUUUCUCUUGCUGCUUCAGUCUAUGGCUUUUGUCUUUCACAGCUCUUUUGUUUGUUGUUUCAGUUUGCAGUUGUUCUCUCAUGUUUUGGUCAUUGAUUUUGCUUUCUUCAUUCUCACUGUAGCUUUACUACUCAAUGUUUUCCCUUCUACAAAGGAAAUAGGUAAUUUGCUGUACAAACAGGCUUUGUUAGAUUUGAUGCAACAGCAAUAGUCAGCCCUCCGUUCAGUAACACUAAUGUCCUGUGAACCCCAGAUUUUGUCUGCUAUCAUUCCCUCUCAUGUCCCUGGCUUAUGAGGGGAUCACGUUUUAUUUGCUGGGCUUAUCAGUGUUUUUUUCUUCUUCUGGUAAUUGCCUGACCUGCUAUGAUUGUUGUUUGCAGUAUUUACUAACUCACAGAUCUUUCUGUCUACUUUAUCUGUGCUUGUUCUUAUCAGUAGAGGCUCAUUGACAUUUUCUUCAUUCAGUGCCCACACACAGACUUCUCAGUGCUUAAUGAUGGGCACUUUGAGAUCUAAAAUAUUUGUAUAGCAUUCAGGGGAAAAAAAUUUCACUAAAACUAAUGGUAUGUUUUAUGUGAUAGUGUACAACUUUUUAAUUACAUAAUUAAAACAGAAAACACUUAGUUUAUUUUAUAUCCCAUAACAAUCACAGAUUUUUACUACCAAAAAAAUGCCCAAACCAAUCAAACAAAAUCCCCUAAAAAAACCACAGCUGAACUAAUUUUAAAACAUACAAAAGUAAAAAAAUUUGCUUGGAAUAACCUCUCCCCCCAAUUUGCAGUUUUGCUUCAGAAUACAUGUUUGUUUAUCCUUGUACUGCAAGAUGCAAAGUAAAUGCCAUUAGUGCCUUUGCACACUGUGCUCUCUGCAAUUUAUGGUGAGCAGUAACAGACUUCAGCAGUAAGUGGCCACAUAGUGAGAUGAACAGUUACAUAACCACAGACAGUAAUUGGAUGCUAUUAAUGAGAAUUUGGGAUAACACCAUUUUUUAGCCCCAGACGUAGUUAACUUUUUAUAAUCUCGAUUAGUGCCAUAUACACUUCUUUUACAGUGUAUAAUUAUUUUCCUAAUCUCCAUUUGUGCCCUCCGAAGUCACUGAAACAAAGACCUUUUUGCAUUACCCUGAUUUGUCCAAAUGCCUCAGAUUAUGUAUCACAAGUACGGAUUUGUAAAUAGUGUCUCUUCAUAUGGAGACAUGAAAAGUUUUGUCACCUUGUAGACAGAUGUAAGAAAUUGUACUUUUCAGGGUCCUAAUUCUUUUACCUUUUUAAUCUCAUUCCUUUUGUUCCUGUGAAUAAAUGUCUGUACCCUUAGAAAGCAGCAGCUGCUUGUAUUACACCUUCUCAGAUAGUCUGUCUGGCCAGAAACCAGAGCAGGACAGAAGCAAGAAUCUGUUCAUAAUUUAUUUUUUCUUGCUAUUGGCUUACAGAAGGGAAUAAAGGGGGAGCUUGGUCUAGGUCUUGUACCAAAUCCCUCUUUUUUAGGUACUUUCCAGCAUGACAACCCUGACUCUCUAACUAGAUAUGCUUGGGAACAGACCUAGGAUGUUGGCAGCUUAAAAGGACGGGGCUCCAGCAUCUGCUGUGGACAAAUAGACACCUCUUAGCAGAAGGUGUAGCAAAAUAAAAAAUGCCAUAUUCUACAAAAUGUAUGGUUUUCGACUGAAAAUUGUGGCCUUGACGUGUGAGUACAAACGUGCUCUGACCUGAUUUCCUGGGUAACUGUGGUUACUGCAUGUGAAGCCACUGGCAGCUGCAGGUGCUCAGCACUUGGGAAAAUAAGGUAUCAAGUAACAAAGAUGAACUUGCAAAGAAUGUUUUUUAAAAAGAAUACCAGUUGAUCAAUAUUCAGAUAAACACCUCAAAUUGUGCUGUAUGUGAUCAUAUUUGAAAGAAUUCAUACCUAGAGCAGUCUAAUAAAGCACUGCAAUUGAAAGAAGUAAAUUCAAGGUAACAUUUUUUACUGUUUUUUAUUUCUUAUUUUCUGCUCAGAGUCACUGAACUCCAUGUAAUUGACUGAUCUUUUAUCUUUAAUUGGAGUCUGUGUCUACAGAAAUUAGUUUUUACAGAUAGAUUAUUACUAGGUGAAAAUCCUAGAAUUUUGGAUAUAUUGUUUUGUAUCAAGACCUUUUGGAAAGUAUGAAGCUAUCUUCUUGUUGAUCCUUUGAGGACUCCAAAAGAGUCUUGUUUAAUAUUAUUCAAACUUUCUAGCCCAGGACACCUUCUGUAAGUAAGUUUCCUCACUUUUCCUGUGAUUCAACACAUUCUAUAUCAAAAAGGUUGGCAAGUUCACUAGCAGUCCACAUCCAUGAGCACUUUAAAUGAAGUGUGAAUUUGAAAAAAACAAUUAAAAAUGCCACUAAAAGUCUGCUUCUUUGCAGAUGAUUUUGUGCAGUUGCCAUCCUUGAAGGGUAUCAAAACCAGACUGGAUAAAGCCCUGAGCAAGCUUCCUGCUUUAAAAAUCCUUGUGCAUCUGGAAAGACAGAAGGAAAUGGUGGAAACUUCCUCUCUUGCUGUGUUUUUCCUAGUUUGUCAGGGAGGGCUGGCUUCAGAAGCUCCAGCUUUUCAAAAGGCAGGAUUUGAACUUAUUAAAGACUGGAAGCCAAGCAAGAUGUCAGGCAAGAUGCAAGACCUAAACUAUAAGAAGUUGCACAAGAUUUUCAGUACUAUUAGUAUAUUAACCCUAAAAUUUCUUCAUAUUUCCACUGUCUGUAACAUAUGUCAACAGACCACGUUAAGACUAAGUGUAUUUUUCAAGAGAAAUGUCUCAUCUUGUCACCCUUGAGUAUAUGUUUUCGUUCUGUCUUUUACUUUGUAUCAGAACUAACUGAAAAGUGUGUCAUUCAGUUUAUGGAGAAGUGGAAUUGCAGAAGAAAAUACAAGAAUGUUACACUUCAUUUUUUUUAAACCUUGAUCGCUUUUUGAACUAAGACUUCCAGAAUUAAAAUGACUUAAUGCUUCUCUGCAUUAAAAGUUGCCAUAAAGAGUAAAAAUUGAGGUGUGAAUUUAAAGCUCAUAAACUACUCCACACUAACUCUUUUUGGAAAUUCUCUUAGCUAGCAAUGUGUGAAGUAAUUUACUCCAUUUCCGAAAAGCAUCAGUAAGUUCACACCUUAGUUUUGACAUGGAGGAGGUUAUCUCAUAUUCACUGUGCAUUGCAUGCCUUACAUGAGUAACUCACGUUGCAAAUCCACAAACUCUGAUUGGAGCUGCUGCAUGAAAAAAACCCUUUGAGUGCAUUUUUGAGUAUUCAGACAUGUUUGGUAAAGAAAACCUACAUAAUCGGGGCCAAGGUAAAGAAAUGAGUCAUCUCAAACGUAUUGCAAUUGUUGUUCCCAAGGCAUGCAGAAUGUCUUCCUGAUACUCAUAAUUGCUACUGCUCCGAGUCAUCAGUGAACCCCAAACAACUCACAUGGAGAAACAACACAGAACUGGUGAAUUUUAGAGUCAUUUGGCAUCUAAUCCUAUUCCUUCACUGCUUGUGGUACCUGCUUUUCUUCCAUCCCAUAACUCUGUUAAAGGUAGUGUUUUGGCAUUAAGGGUUGCUUCUUUGUGCCCUGCCAUAGAACAUGUGGCAAAAUCAGACCCCUAGAUCCUAUGCUAUGGCAGGCAGAGUGAAAUCUGACCACUAUGGCAGCCUUUGCCUCCUCAAGAGCCCCAGAAAGAGCCUAGAGCUCCUUCCCUGCAUGGGAAACCUCUCAAACUGUUGUCAGUCUCCUGUGUAAUUGUAGGAGCUUCUUAAUAAGAUAAACAAAUGAGUAGCUAACAGUGAUGGCAAUGGCAGGGGUCAGUCAUCAACAUACACAUUUUCUGUGUUUUCAUAUUUACCCAACAGCAAUGGUUACCUGUAAUGAAUCAAUAACUACGAGGAUCUCAGCGGAGGCAGAAAACUGGAAUGCUUUAUUGGACUCACAAAUUCAUAUUUAAAGGGUUUAGGAUCUACAUAUUCAACAGGGGGUUGUAAAUAUUACAAUUAUUACAAACAGGGGGUUUCAGGAGAUGACAUAAGGGAAAAAUCCAGGUUAACAAAUUUGGGGUCUUACACAUACAUCAUAGGGGGAAACCCAUUUUAUCUUGGGGGAAUUACAAGGGAAAAAAGGUAUUUGGGUUUACAGAAUGCCAGGAUUCAGGGAACACAAAGGGAGAGAUAAAACACAAAAGGUCUUCUGCACAGGUUUGAUGAGAUCAGGGUGAGGACUCUCUGGUUUGGGCAGGGCAUGAUGUGACAACAUCAUGCAAAGAGUCUUUUCACAUCCUGCUGGAGAAGGCAGGAAAAAUCCACAGGGAUGAGGUCAAUGCAGAGGGUUUUUCCCAACUUCUAUAGCCCAGAGCUUUUUGGAAAGACCACUCAAAUCUCUCUCUGAAGAUAUUAUAUUUUGGGAUCCAACAGUUACCAAGGGCAUGUUUAGACUUUAGGUUAUCUGUUUCUAAAUAUAUAUGAAGCCUUCCCAGAACAUUCAAAUUGAUUGUAUAUGAGACAAUAUUCAAUCAGUUUACCAAAUCGAUCAGCAAAAUUCAGCUGAUGUAUAACAUCAGUUCCGUCUGAAAAUCUUCCCAAAACCUCCAGUGCUUAAUCAGCCUUUUUGAUCUAAACUCUUAGUGGGAAUUCUCACUAUGGUUUUUUCUUACCAAAUUUCCAUCACUUUCUGUAUCUCACUAAGCCAAAAGUAUUGAGGGAAUAGUCUUUUUUUGUGGCAUUUUGGCACUUGUAAUCCAGACUGGAACCACAGUGUGCA
Pseudopipra pipra is the source of this 6589-nucleotide long non-coding RNA. RefSeq lists it as uncharacterized. The transcript is spliced from 3 exons. NCBI's taxonomy places the organism in Eukaryota, Metazoa, Chordata, Aves, Passeriformes, Pipridae. The record is from RefSeq and is a predicted model, not a curated record.